This 499-nucleotide ribosomal RNA is filed under the name uncultured bacterium. RNAcentral's name for it is "partial 16S ribosomal RNA". It matches the Rfam family "Bacterial small subunit ribosomal RNA", at positions 28 to 507 of the family's 1533-position model. The record is from RNAcentral.
GACGAACGCUGGCGGCGUGCUUAACACAUGCAAGUCGAACGGGCCUGUCUUCUUUUUUGGGGGUGGGUUGAGUGGCGAACGGGUGAGUAUCACGUGAGUAACCUGCCCUUCGGUCCUGGAUAACCGCUUGAAAGGGCGGCUAAUACGGGGUGGUCCGGUUGGUCCGCAUGGGCUGGUCGGGAUAGAUUCACUGUUUUUGGUGUUUCGGCGGGGGAUGGGCUCGCGGCCUAUCAGCUUGUUGGUGGGGUGAUGGCCUACCAAGGCGGUGACGGGUAGCCGGCCUGAGAGGGUGGGCGGCCACACUGGGACUGAGAUACGGCCCAGACUCCUGCGGGAGGCAGCAGUGGGGGGUAUUGCGCAAUGGGCGGAAGCCUGAUGCAGCGACGUCGCGUGAGGGAUGGAGGCCUUCGGGUUGUGAACCUCUGUUUCCGGUGGUGAAGGCCCUGUCCGUGUGGUGGGGUUGACGGUAGCCGGGGAUGAAGCGCCGGCUAACUACGUG